This is a long non-coding RNA of Mercurialis annua (annual mercury), 281 nucleotides long. RefSeq lists it as uncharacterized. The record is from RefSeq and is a predicted model, not a curated record. NCBI's taxonomy places the organism in Eukaryota, Viridiplantae, Streptophyta, Magnoliopsida, Malpighiales, Euphorbiaceae. The transcript has 3 exons.
GUUGUAGCCAUUAUUCCACUAUUUUUCUGAGUUUUCCUUGCUCUUUUGGAUUGCUAAGACCCGUCGACUGCUCGUGCUUCGGAGUCGGAUCAGGUUUAGUUGCUUGUCAAGUUUUCACGUGGAUUUGCAAGCAGGUUAUGAUCUGAGAGAGUCUGGUGAUCUCCGCAUUUACUUUUCUUCGGAGGUUCCAUUUAUUUUUGAUAAACUGUAAAACUGUUUUAUUCUUAGACCGCAGUAGUAACUAGACGUCUUUAUUAUUACUGUAUAUUUUGUCGGAUUGG